This 492-nucleotide ribosomal RNA is filed under the name uncultured bacterium. RNAcentral describes it as "partial 16S ribosomal RNA". It matches the Rfam family "Bacterial small subunit ribosomal RNA", at positions 29 to 507 of the family's 1533-position model. The record is from RNAcentral.
AUUGAACGCUGGCGGCAUGCUUUACACAUGCAAGUCGAACGGUAACAGGCCUUCGGGUGCUGACGAGUGGCGAACGGGUGAGUAAUGCAUCGGAACGUACCCAGAGGUGGGGGAUAACGCAGCGAAAGCUGUGCUAAUACCGCAUGUGAUCUGAGGAUGAAAGCGGGGGACCGGGAAGCAAUGUUUGGCCUCGCGCCUUUGAGCCGGCCGAUGUCGGAUUAGCUAGUUGGUGGGGUAAAGGCCUACCAAGGCGACGAUCCGUAGCUGGUCUGAGAGGACGACCAGCCACACUGGGACUGAGACACGGCCCAGACUCCUACGGGAGGCAGCAGUGGGGAAUUUUGGACAAUGGGCACAAGCCUGAUCCAGCAAUGCCGCGUGCGGGAAGAAGGCCUUCGGGUUGUAAACCGCUUUUGGCAGGAACGAAACGGUGUCCGCUAAUACCGGGCGCUAAUGACGGUACCUGCAGAAUAAGCACCGGCUAACUACGUG